UACGAAGGGUCCAAGCGUUAUCCGGAUUCAUUGGGUUUAAAGGGUGCGCAGGCGGGGCUUUAAGUCAGUGGUGAAAUCCCUUCGCUCAACGAAGGAACUGCCAUUGAUACUGAAGCUCUUGAAUAUGGUUGACGUUGGCGGAAUGUGUCAUGUAGCGGUGAAAUGCUUAGAUAUGACACAGAACACCAAUCGCGAAGGCAGCUAACGAAGCCAUUAUUGACGCUCAGGCACGAAAGCGUGGGGAUCAAACAGG
Molecule: ribosomal RNA, 253 nt
Filed under: uncultured bacterium
Lineage: Bacteria
Description: partial 16S ribosomal RNA
Rfam family: Bacterial small subunit ribosomal RNA
Source: RNAcentral